GAGCCGACCUGGUCGACUUCUGGAUCGUCAAUGUCCGAUCGAACCGCAGACGGCAUGCCUGCGGCCGACUACGGGAGAGAGCGCUGAGCGUCACCAC
Molecule: non-coding RNA, 97 nt
Organism: Rhodococcus pyridinivorans SB3094
Lineage: Bacteria; Bacillati; Actinomycetota; Actinomycetes; Mycobacteriales; Nocardiaceae
Source: Rfam